GACGAAUGCUGGCGGCGUGCCUAAUACAUGCAAGUUGAGCGAUGAAGAUUGGUGCUUGCACCAAUUUGAAGAGCAGCGAACGGGUGAGUAACGCGUGGGGAAUCUGCCUUUGAGCGGGGGACACCAUUUGGAAACGAAUGCUAAUACCGCAUUACAACUUUAAACAUAAGUUUUAAGUUUGAAAGAUGCAAUUGCAUCACUCAAAGAUGAUCGCGCGGUGUAUUAGCUAGUUGGUGAGGUAAAGGCUCACAAAGGCGAUGAUACAUAGCCGACCUGAGAGGGUGAUCGGCCACAUUGGGACUGAGACACGGCCCAAACUCCUACGGGAGGCAGCAGUAGGGAAUCUUCGGCAAUGGACGAAAGUCUGACCGAGCAACGCCGCGUGAGUGAAGAAGGUUUUCGGAUCGUAAAACUCUGUUGGUAGAGAAGAACGUUGGUGAGAGUGGAAAGCUCAUCAAGUGACGGUAACUACCCAGAAAGGGACGGCUAACUACGUGCCAGCAGCCGCAGUAA
This 513-nucleotide ribosomal RNA is filed under the name uncultured bacterium. RNAcentral describes it as "partial 16S ribosomal RNA". It matches the Rfam family "Bacterial small subunit ribosomal RNA", at positions 28 to 523 of the family's 1533-position model. The record is from RNAcentral.